Molecule: non-coding RNA, 31 nt
Filed under: unclassified sequences
Description: L31-Firmicutes ribosomal protein leader
Rfam family: L31-Firmicutes ribosomal protein leader
Source: RNAcentral
CUAUGUCAGGUAACUGUCAUGGCGGAAGGAG